Molecule: unclassified non-coding RNA, 346 nt
Filed under: soil metagenome
Description: partial contains 5.8S ribosomal RNA, internal transcribed spacer 2, and large subunit ribosomal RNA
Rfam family: 5.8S ribosomal RNA (bases 1-120)
Source: RNAcentral
GAUGAAGAACGUAGCGAAAUGCGAUAAGUAAUGUGAAUUGCAGAAUUCAGUGAAUCAUCGAAUCUUUGAACGCACAUUGCGCCCGCUAGUAUUCUGGCGGGCAUGCCUGUCCGAGCGUCAUUUCAACCCUCAAGCCCCCGGGCUUGGUGUUGGGGAUCGGCGAGCCUCCGCGCCCGCCGUCCCCUAAAUCUAGUGGCGGUCCCGCCGCAGCUUCCAUCGCGUAGUAGCUAACACCUCGCGACUGGAGAGCGGCGCGGCCACGCCGUAAAACACCCAACUCUUCUGAAGUUGACCUCGAAUCAGGUAGGAAUACCCGCUGAACUUAAGCAUAUCAAUAAGCGGAGGA